CCCUUAGAUGUUCUGGGCCGCACACGCGCUACACUGAAGGAGGCAGCGUGUACUCCUGGAUCGAAAGAGUUGGGUAACCCGCGAAUCUCCUUCGUGCUAGGGAUUGAGGUUUGCAAUUAUCCUUCAUGAACGAGGAAUUCCCAGUAAGUGCAAGUCAUAAGCUUGCGCUGACUACGUCCCUGCCCUUUGUACACACCGCCCGUCGCUACUACCGAUUGAAUGAUUUAGUGAGGACUUCGGACUGGGACCGAUGCGGCUUUCGGGCUGCGUCGGUAUUCUGGAAAGAUGUCCAAACUGUAUCAUUUAGAGGAAGUAAAANUCGUANCA
RNAcentral lists this ribosomal RNA (327 nucleotides) under uncultured eukaryote. RNAcentral's name for it is "partial 18S ribosomal RNA". It matches the Rfam family "Eukaryotic small subunit ribosomal RNA", at positions 1470 to 1796 of the family's 1831-position model. The record is from RNAcentral.